GCUCAGGACGAACGCUGGCGGCGUGCUUAACACAUGCAAGUCGGACGAUUUUUGUGGAUGCGGAUCUUUCGGGAGAAGCGUUCAUGGAGAUAGUGGCGGACGGGUGAGUAACGCGUGAAGUACCUGCCCUGGGGAGGGGGAUACCGUCUGGAAACGGACGUUAAUACCCCGUAAGCCGGGAGGUGAAAGGCCCGUAAGGGCUGCCCUGGGAGGGUUUCGCGUCCUAUCAGCUGGUUGGUGGGGUAACGGCUCACCAAGGUGAAGACGGGUAGCCGGUCUGAGAGGAUGGACGGCCACACUGGAACUGAGACACGGUCCAGACUCCUACGGGAGGCAGCAGUGGGGAAUAUUGGGCAAUGGGCGGAAGCCUGACCCAGCGACGCCGCGUGAGGGAUGAAGGCCCUUGGGUUGUAAACCUCUGUUGUACGGGAAGAAGCGAGUGACGGUAC
This 449-nucleotide ribosomal RNA is filed under the name uncultured bacterium. RNAcentral describes it as "bacterial SSU rRNA". It matches the Rfam family "Bacterial small subunit ribosomal RNA", at positions 22 to 478 of the family's 1533-position model. The record is from RNAcentral.